This is a non-coding RNA of Hydra vulgaris (swiftwater hydra), 1815 nucleotides long. The record is from RefSeq and is a predicted model, not a curated record. NCBI's taxonomy places the organism in Eukaryota, Metazoa, Cnidaria, Hydrozoa, Anthoathecata, Hydridae.
CUUUCGUCAUUAUCUAUAUUUGAUAUAUCUAAUACUUUUAGUAAAGAAGGUUAAUUUAUAUACUAAUACUAAUGCUUGCUAGAGCAUUGCAAGUGGACCAAUUAUUAUCUGAUUUGGUUAUUCACCGUAUUGGAGUGAUUGAUCAUUGACAACUAAUAUUAUUAGGAGAGAUCAAAAAGGGCAAACAAAAUUUUGCUUCUGCAACAAUUAUUAUCAGCAGUGUGGCAUUAUAGAAACAAGUUUCGACAAUUUUGGGCUGCUUGUUUCAUCAAUAGAAAAGUUAAAAAAAAAUUGAAGCAGAUUGUCUUGACAAUUAAAUACAAGGAAAGCUUACACAUUAUUUGCGUCAGUGUGGUGAAACAACUGUUUCUGAAUCGAAAAGAAAUAUAAUAAAGCGAUUGAUGAAAAAUAGCAUUACAGUUGCUUGUAAUUGGAAAAGAAAAAAUGGGAAAUAUACUUUUAGCAAUAGCAAGCUUUGCCAAAUUAUAAAUAGUGCACUUUUUUGGGUUAAACCAGGAAUCGGCAACCUUCGGCUUGCAAGCCGCAUCCAGUUUUUUAUUUAAACUGUGUGGCUCUUCAACCUGUCCGAGUUUUAUAUUUAAAUGAUAUUGAAUAUCAUUGAAUAAUAAUAAUUUUUAGAUUUUUUUAAAACAAUUUUAAGAAAAAUGGCCCUCAAAUUGAAACAGGUUGCCGACCCCUGUGUUAAAUAAUCAUUAUUUAUUCUUAUCAGGGAUGUUUCAUUUUCAGUUCCAUCAAUUUUUUGGGACCCCAUGGACUUCGAAUUAUGGAUUCCAUGGACUUCGAACUCUUCGAAUAAUUUUUUUUUCUUUAAUUAAAUAUGGGGUUUUUAUUAUCUGGAACUUUAACGUGAAAAUUCCAGAAAAAUGAGACGGUAACAAAAAUAUUUUCUCUUAUGAAUUAUAUAUAUGUUUUUUUUUAUGUAGCCUAAGAUAUAAUUUACUAUGUAUUACAUGAAAAUUCCAGAAAAAUGAGACAGUAACAAAAAUAUUUUCUCUUAUGAAUUAUAUAUAUGUUUUUUUUAUGUAGCCUAAGAAGUCCUUACGGUCUUUGCUGGAUAGUGAGAAUUAAUAAGAAAAAUAUAACUCCAAAGAUUUUGAUUUGAUUCGCAUUGUCGCGCACACAGAUUUCUCAGUUGCACUCAUUUUCUUAGACUAUUUGAAACCACAUAAUCAUAAAAUUAUAAAAAGAUUUAAUUUUUUACUUACAUUAAUUACACGCUAAAUUAUAAAGUUACAAGGACAAAAUAUUACAAAAGCAUAUCAUCAAUUAACUCAGAUGUAAAUCGACUACAAUGGUCUGGUGUCAUGUGCUUUAAGACUGAAAACAUAUGCUCGACACUGACUUGGCAUAUGGUUAGUGACAAACCGACAAGGCAGGCAUCCCAUUCAACUUCAGGGAACUGCUUAUUUGAUUUUAAUGGGUUAAGUUUUUAAAACUCGUCUAAGUUGGAAGAGUUGUCUUUAAACAUUGAACGAAUUUCCGAAAUUAUUUUUAGAGCUUGUCAAAGCUCCUUUUUGAUUACAUCUAGUUGAACCUGCAUUUGUUCUUCUGAAGAACUUUCUUGAAUCUCCUGUUGAUACAACAUAAAUAAAUUUGAUCAACACUUUGCGACUGGUGAAGCAUUCUCUUCAUUUUCUGAGCUAGAGUCUGACACAUAAACUGCAAAAGAGUUGCGCUCUACUACUUUUUUGGUUUUGUUGAGUUCAUUAUUCUUAUUUUUAUUAGCGAGUUGAAUCAGUUUGUAAUGUAUUUCCAAAGUCAUCAGCUGCAGUUAUUUAUAGAAGUAUUUAUAAC